Molecule: ribosomal RNA, 461 nt
Filed under: uncultured bacterium
Lineage: Bacteria
Description: partial 16S ribosomal RNA
Rfam family: Bacterial small subunit ribosomal RNA
Source: RNAcentral
CCUACGGGAGGCAGCAGUGAGGAAUAUUGGUCAAUGGGCGAGAGCCUGAACCAGCAAAGUCGCGUGAAGGAUGAAGGCCCUACGGGUUGUAAACUUCUUUUGUAAGGGAGAAAAUGGGUCCCCGCGUGGGGUUAGCGAGAGUACCUGAAGAAAAAGCAUAGGCUAACUCCGAGCCAGCAGCCGCGGUAAUACGGAGGAGGCGAGCGUUAUCCGGAUUUAUUGGGUUUAAAGGUAGCGUAGAUGGGUUGUUAAGUCAGUUGUGAAAGCUUGCGGCUCAACCGUAAAAUUGCAAUUGAUACUGGCAGUCUUGAGUACAGUUGAGGUAGGCGGAAUUCGUGGUGUAGCGGUGAAAUGCGUAGAUAUUAGGAGGAACACCAGUGGCGAAGGCGGCUUACUGGACUGUAACUGACGCUGAGGCUCGAAAGCGUGGGGAGCAAACAGGAUUAGAUACCCCAGUAGUC